Molecule: ribosomal RNA, 636 nt
Filed under: uncultured archaeon
Lineage: Archaea
Description: partial 16S ribosomal RNA
Source: RNAcentral
AUCUGGCGUUGACUCCAUUGAACCGCGGCUUCAUCCCUUGUGGUGCUCCCCCGCCAAUUCCUUAAGUUUCAUACUUGCGUACGUACUUCCCAGGCGGCAGACUUAACGGCUUCCCUGCGGCACUGCAUUGGCCACAAGCCAAUGCAUCACCGAGUCUGCAUCGUUUACAGCUGGGACUACCCGGGUAUCUAAUCCGGUUUGCUCCCCCAGCUUUCAUCCCUCACCGUCGAACGUGUUCUGGUACACCGCCUUCGCCACAGGUGGUCUUCAAUAGAUCAAAGGAUUUUACCCCUUCCUAUCGAGUACCGUGUACCUCUCCCACUCCCUAGCUGCACAGUAUUUUCGGCGGCCUAUACGUUAAGCGCAUAGAUUUAACCGAAAACUUAUGCAACCGGCUACGGAUGCUUUAGGCCCAAUAAACCUCCUGACCACUCGAGGUGCUGGUUUUACCGCGGCGGCUGACACCAGAACUUGCCCACCCCUUAUUCACCAGUGAUUCUACAACUGACAAAAGACUCCUUUAGCAGGAGACACUCGGAUUAACCUUGUCGUGCUUUCGCACAUUGCAAAGGUUCUCGCCUGCUGCGCCCCAUAGGGCCUGGGUCCGGUCCAGUACCAUCUCCGGGCCCUCUCUCA